UAAGACGAACCGUGCGAACGUUGUUCGGAUUCACUGGGCUUAAAGGGCGCGUAGGCGGCUUGCCAAGUCUGUGGUGAAAUCUUUCGGCUCAACCGGAAAACGGCCGUGGAUACUGGCAAGCUCGAGGGGGGUAGGGGCCGUGGGAACUGCCGGUGGAGCGGUGAAAUGCGUUGAGAUCGGCAGGAACGCCGGUGGCGAAAGCGCACGGCUGGGCCCUCCCUGACGCUGAGGCGCGAAAGCCAGGGGAGCAAACGGGAUUAGAUACCCCGGUAGUCCUGGCCUUAAACGAUGGGGACUAGGUAGCGGGCCUGACAUGGGCCCGCUGCCGGAGCAAAAGUGUUAAGUCCCCCGCCUGGGGAGUAUGGUCGCAAGGCUG
RNAcentral lists this ribosomal RNA (376 nucleotides) under uncultured bacterium. RNAcentral's name for it is "bacterial SSU rRNA". It matches the Rfam family "Bacterial small subunit ribosomal RNA", at positions 521 to 896 of the family's 1533-position model. The record is from RNAcentral.